This is a non-coding RNA of Ceratotherium simum simum (southern white rhinoceros), 2016 nucleotides long. The record is from RefSeq and is a predicted model, not a curated record. NCBI's taxonomy places the organism in Eukaryota, Metazoa, Chordata, Mammalia, Perissodactyla, Rhinocerotidae.
UUUGGGGGUUUUUUCCUUCUUUUUUUGUAUCUAAUUCAUAUUGGGAGGUAUUGGUUUGGAAAUAAGCUGUUAAAUUUCUCACCUGUCUUAUUAGGCAGAAAAAUAAAAUGGAAUCAUUUUGAAUUAAAGCUUCAAAAAAACCCUCCAGGUAAGCAGUGUUCCAGUGUCGAUUAAUAUACAGUAAACUAUGAUUUUUCUAUAAGGGUACCAAAGCAUUACUGAUAAAUUGGUGUUUCUGGCUAACAGGAGAUUAACCAGAAAUAUUCUCUGUCUUUUCCUUAUUGAAUAUAUUUUUAAAAUGUGCUGGUCCCCUUUCCUACCCUAGAAAGAACAUUGAGAAUGUAAUUGAAUCUUGCUUUGAAGUUUGAGGAUCUUAUGGUGCCACAGGGUCACUGUUCUGAGGAUGAAUUCUGAUUGUACGUUAUAGAACUAUAAAUGGAGACGGUGUCAGAGAUUGGACUAAAUCUGUCCUGAUCCCAGCUUGGAAAUUGUUUUCUUCUUUUGUUAAAUCCUCCAUAUUAGUAUGUUUUGUUAUUCGCCUCCCUUGUUCUCUAAGUUGCAAGCAACAAAAUAGAAAUUCACUUCAAUUUGUUGGUUCUGGUUAAUUGAGGUUUACUUUUCGGGAAAAUUUCAACCGGAAUCUAAAGCCUUAAUUCUUUCUCUAGAGUUAUAGAGAAUGUAAAAUUAAUCUCAAAGAUUCAUGAAGGCUGUUGUAUUUACAAGUAAGUUAUGGACUGUAGUACCGUAGCAUUUUGUAACUUCUCCCCUGUGUAAUGGUAGAUAGAAAUGCCAGCUAGUUUUGUCUUCUUUAGAUAUGUUGAAGGGGUAUCUUUGGUAAAGGACUUGUAAAUCUUGACAGUUAGGAACCUCAAGGAUUAGAAGGAAGACUUUCAAGAAUAUCAAUAAAGAACAUUUAGAUUCCCCAAAGGAAACCUUCUCUCCAAGCUUAGCCCUUGGUUCCCCAAACCAGUAUGGAAAGCAUUCUGGAACCACACCGUCAGAAGCUGACUUUCUCAGGGCUGUCCCACUUGACUUAAUGAUCGUCUGUGGUCAUCUUGUGAUAUCUUUGAUGUCGUAGUGUUGGAAAUUCAGCUUGGGAGUCUUGGUGUUCUUUUGUGUCAGCCCAAUUAUUAUUAUUUUUUUUUUGCUUUUGGAGUAAAGACAUCACGGAGAUUGUUUAAAGAAAUCCUUACACGAGGGGAAUGGGGCGUGAUGAGAAAUAAAUAUACCACAGCUCAUGGUUUAGGCAGGCUCGCUUUUUGCUCUGGCUUUUACAUGCUAAUGUUAAAAGGAAUUACAGGUAACAAUUCCCUUGUGUUGGUGGAAGAACAAUUUUUUUUUCUAACUGAUGUUUAUGGCCUCACCUGACACAUCAUUAUUACAAACUGUCGUAUCACAUUACUUGCGGUGGCACACUGACAGUGGCGUGGCACUGUGGUUUCCCAGUGGAUGUCUCGUCCACAGAUCUGAGGCCCUGGGGGCCGGCUGGGGAGCCCUCUGCAGUGCCCACCGACAGCUGAGAGUACGGGUUCCCCACAGUCUUGAAGGUGCUGGAGGACUGUCCCAGGUGACUUUACAAUCUCCAGACACAGACAUUUCUCUCAGAAGUGGAGUGAAGGAAGGAGACCCACAAGCUAAAGUGUGUUUCGCUGGGUGAAGUAUUUUGAGGGGAAAGAUAAGACUGGUGAAAUUGGGGAAUGGAGUCGUGCCUACAGAGAUUAAGAAUGCCUGUUUGGGGCUGGGGAGUGGGGGCUGUGAAUGAAGGAAGGGAAUCUCUAGAGGGAAAGAGACUUCUAUGCAAAGGAAAAUGAAAUUAGCAUUGACUCUGAAGUGGCUGGGAAUGUGACUUUCUAAUUUUAAAUUAUCUUUAACAAGGGCAAUGAAAAGAGGAAAAGUUGACACUUUGAGAAGUUGUGCCGAACUUGUCGAGAAUGCCAAUUGACAAAGCAGGUAAGGGAAUAUUUGGAAACACAGAACGAGAACAGGUGUCAGGGGCACGAUGGUCUGCUUCCUAGG